RNAcentral lists this ribosomal RNA (253 nucleotides) under uncultured bacterium. RNAcentral describes it as "partial 16S ribosomal RNA". It matches the Rfam family "Bacterial small subunit ribosomal RNA", at positions 524 to 776 of the family's 1533-position model. The record is from RNAcentral.
UACAGAGGGGGCGAGCGUUAAUCGGAAUUACUGGGCGUAAAGGGUGCGUAGGUGGUGACAUAAGUUAGGUGUGAAAGUCCCGGGCUUAACCUGGGGAUUGCGCCUAAUACUGUGAGGCUUGAGUAUUGUAGAGGAAAGUGGAAUUUCCGGUGUAGCGGUGAAAUGCGUAGAUAUCGGAAGGAACAUCAGUGGCGAAGGCGACUUUCUGGACAAAUACUGACACUGAGGCACGAAAGCAUGGGGAGCAAACAGG